RNAcentral lists this ribosomal RNA (253 nucleotides) under uncultured bacterium. Its description in RNAcentral is "partial 16S ribosomal RNA". It matches the Rfam family "Bacterial small subunit ribosomal RNA", at positions 524 to 776 of the family's 1533-position model. The record is from RNAcentral.
UACGUAGGGUGCGAGCGUUGUCCGGAAUUAUUGGGCGUAAAGGGCUCGUAGGCGGUCUGUCGCGUCGGUAGUGAAAACUCAGGGCUUAACCCUGAGCCUGCUUCCGAUACGGGCAGACUAGAGGUAUGCAGGGGAGAAUGGAAUUCCUGGUGUAGCGGUGAAAUGCGCAGAUAUCAGGAGGAACACCAGUGGCGAAGGCGGUUCUCUGGGCAUUACCUAACGCUGAGGAGCGAAAGUGUGGGGAGCAAACAGG